The sequence is a ribosomal RNA, 404 nucleotides long. It matches the Rfam family "Eukaryotic small subunit ribosomal RNA", at positions 30 to 432 of the family's 1831-position model.
GCUUGUCUCAAAGAUUAAGCCAUGCACGUCUGAGAAUAAAGAGUUUUCUCUGAAUCUGCGAAUGGCUCAUUAUAUCAGUUAUAGUUUAUUUGAUAGUCCUUUACUACUUGGAUAACCGUAGUAAUUCUAGAGCUAAUACAUGCAUCAACUCCCAACUGCUUGUCGGACGGGAUGUAUUUAUUAGAUACAAAACCAACCCGGGCAACCGGUCCUUUGGUGAUUCAUGAUAACUUUGCGAAUCGCAUAGCUUUAAUGCUGGCGAUGGGUCAUUCAAAUUUCUGCCCUAUCAACUUUCGACGGUAGGAUAGAGGCCUACUGUGGUGAUAACGGGUAACGAAGAAUAAGGGUUCGAUUUCGGAGAGGGAGCCUGAGAAACGGCUACCACAUCCAAGGAAGGCAGCAGG